Molecule: ribosomal RNA, 253 nt
Filed under: uncultured bacterium
Lineage: Bacteria
Description: partial 16S ribosomal RNA
Rfam family: Bacterial small subunit ribosomal RNA
Source: RNAcentral
GACGAACCGUGCAAACGUUGUUCGGAUUCACUGGGCUUAAAGGGCGCGUAGGCGGGUGGUCAAGUCAGGGGUGAAAUCUUUCAGCUCAACUGGAAAAUAGCUUCUGAUACUGGCCGUCUUGAGGGAGGUAGGGGCAUGUGGAACUUCCGGUGGAGCAGUGAAAUGCGUAGAUAUCGAGAGGAACACCAGUGGCGAAGGCGAGUCCCUGGACGACUCCUGACACUGAGGCACGAAAGCUAGGGGAGCAAACAGG